GGGUUGUGAGGUUAAGCGACUAAGCGUACACGGUGGAUGCCCUGGCAGUCAGAGGCGAUGAAGGACGUGCUAAUCUGCGAUAAGCGUCGGUAAGGUGAUAUGAACCGUUAUAACCGGCGAUUUCCGAAUGGGGAAACCCAGUGUGUUUCGACACACUAUCAUUAACUGAAUCCAUAGGUUAAUGAGGCGAACCGGGGGAACUGAAACAUCUAAGUACCCCGAGGAAAAGAAAUCAACCGAGAUUCCCCCAGUAGCGGCGAGCGAACGGGGAGCAGCCCAGAGCCUGAAUCAGUGUGUGUGUUAGUGGAAGCGUCUGGAAAGGCGCGCGAUACAGGGUGACAGCCCCGUACACAAAAAUGCACAUGCUGUGAGCUCGAUGAGUAGGGCGGGACACGUGGUAUCCUGUCUGAAUAUGGGGGGACCAUCCUCCAAGGCUAAAUACUCCUGACUGACCGAUAGUGAACCAGUACCGUGAGGGAAAGGCGAAAAGAACCCCGGCGAGGGGAGUGAAAAAGAACCUGAAACCGUGUACGUACAAGCAGUGGGAGCACGCUUAGGCGUGUGACUGCGUACCUUUUGUAUAAUGGGUCAGCGACUUAUAUUCUGUAGCAAGGUUAACCGAAUAGGGGAGCCGAAGGGAAACCGAGUCUUAACUGGGCGUUAAGUUGCAGGGUAUAGACCCGAAACCCGGUGAUCUAGCCAUGGGCAGGUUGAAGGUUGGGUAACACUAACUGGAGGACCGAACCGACUAAUGUUGAAAAAUUAGCGGAUGACUUGUGGCUGGGGGUGAAAGGCCAAUCAAACCGGGAGAUAGCUGGUUCUCCCCGAAAGCUAUUUAGGUAGCGCCUCGUGAAUUCAUCUCCGGGGGUAGAGCACUGUUUCGGCAAGGGGGUCAUCCCGACUUACCAACCCGAUGCAAACUGCGAAUACCGGAGAAUGUUAUCACGGGAGACACACGGCGGGUGCUAACGUCCGUCGUGAAGAGGGAAACAACCCAGACCGCCAGCUAAGGUCCCAAAGUCAUGGUUAAGUGGGAAACGAUGUGGGAAGGCCCAGACAGCCAGGAUGUUGGCUUAGAAGCAGCCAUCAUUUAAAGAAAGCGUAAUAGCUCACUGGUCGAGUCGGCCUGCGCGGAAGAUGUAACGGGGCUAAACCAUGCACCGAAGCUGCGGCAGCGACGCUGAUGCGUUGUUGGGUAGGGGAGCGUUCUGUAAGCCUGCGAAGGUGUGCUGUGAGGCAUGCUGGAGGUAUCAGAAGUGCGAAUGCUGACAUAAGUAACGAUAAAGCGGGUGAAAAGCCCGCUCGCCGGAAGACCAAGGGUUCCUGUCCAACGUUAAUCGGGGCAGGGUGAGUCGACCCCUAAGGCGAGGCCGAAAGGCGUAGUCGAUGGGAAACAGGUUAAUAUUCCUGUACUUGGUGUUACUGCGAAGGGGGGACGGAGAAGGCUAUGUUGGCCGGGCGACGGUUGUCCCGGUUUAAGCGUGUAGGCUGGUUUUCCAGGCAAAUCCGGAAAAUCAAGGCUGAGGCGUGAUGACGAGGCACUACGGUGCUGAAGCAACAAAUGCCCUGCUUCCAGGAAAAGCCUCUAAGCAUCAGGUAACAUCAAAUCGUACCCCAAACCGACACAGGUGGUCAGGUAGAGAAUACCAAGGCGCUUGAGAGAACUCGGGUGAAGGAACUAGGCAAAAUGGUGCCGUAACUUCGGGAGAAGGCACGCUGAUAUGUAGGUGAAGUCCCUUGCGGAUGGAGCUGAAAUCAGUCGAAGAUACCAGCUGGCUGCAACUGUUUAUUAAAAACACAGCACUGUGCAAACACGAAAGUGGACGUAUACGGUGUGACGCCUGCCCGGUGCCGGAAGGUUAAUUGAUGGGGUCAGCGCAAGCGAAGCUCUUGAUCGAAGCCCCGGUAAACGGCGGCCGUAACUAUAACGGUCCUAAGGUAGCGAAAUUCCUUGUCGGGUAAGUUCCGACCUGCACGAAUGGCGUAAUGAUGGCCAGGCUGUCUCCACCCGAGACUCAGUGAAAUUGAACUCGCUGUGAAGAUGCAGUGUACCCGCGGCAAGACGGAAAGACCCCGUGAACCUUUACUAUAGCUUGACACUGAACAUUGAGCCUUGAUGUGUAGGAUAGGUGGGAGGCUU
This 2140-nucleotide ribosomal RNA is filed under the name Escherichia coli. RNAcentral's name for it is "partial 23S ribosomal RNA". It matches the Rfam family "Bacterial large subunit ribosomal RNA", at positions 1 to 2157 of the family's 2925-position model. The record is from RNAcentral. Lineage: Bacteria; Pseudomonadati; Pseudomonadota; Gammaproteobacteria; Enterobacterales; Enterobacteriaceae.